Long non-coding RNA from Acanthopagrus latus (yellowfin seabream), 530 nucleotides. RefSeq lists it as uncharacterized. The record is from RefSeq and is a predicted model, not a curated record. The transcript has 4 exons. NCBI's taxonomy places the organism in Eukaryota, Metazoa, Chordata, Actinopteri, Spariformes, Sparidae.
UCCUGGCUGUACACUGAUGGCUGGCUCUUACUGGGGCUGCUGAAGUACUUGGCCAUCUGACUUGGGUUGUUCUGAUCCUCUUCAAACUGCCGCCACUGGGUCAGCUGCAGUGGACAUGCUGUCCUAUGAUCAGACCGAGGUUCUGCCAGAAAAAGGGCUCUCUGUCGGUUUUGCUUCUACAAAAAUGUCAGUAUCAUCACUGGAAACAGGCAGAUGUCAGAGGUGUUUCCAAGGCACAAAGAGCAUGCAGUUGGUUGCCAGAGUGCAGACGAGAAUGGCUCCAGCCACGGUGCUGUAGACGAGGUUGGGCCAGGCCUGCAUUAAGAUGGACACCGGGACGGCCACAGCAGAGGAAAGGGUGACCAGAGUCACCACUGUUAUGAUGGUGGGAGACUGGUUGACAGGAGGGUGGCUGACAUUGCUUGUAAGCCCAGCUAGGGUGAAGAGGAGGAAGCAGAAAGCCAGCAGGAUGCCACAAGAGAGCAGCGUCCACACCACAGCACUUAACACCGGAGAGAGAGACCGCCUCG